GAGGGUGUUAUAAGAUUUGCUAACUCUUU
Molecule: transfer RNA, 29 nt
Filed under: Senticolis triaspis
Lineage: Eukaryota; Metazoa; Chordata; Lepidosauria; Squamata; Colubridae
Description: partial tRNA-Ser
Source: RNAcentral